This 212-nucleotide long non-coding RNA is filed under the name Elaeis guineensis (African oil palm). Its description in RNAcentral is "long non-coding RNA (EGUI_LNC048278)". The record is from RNAcentral. Lineage: Eukaryota; Viridiplantae; Streptophyta; Magnoliopsida; Arecales; Arecaceae.
UAAACUAACCUAUUUGGAUCAAUUAACCUAUUGGUGUCUAAGGUAAGUAAUUGAGAGGUGAUUAUUUAAUUGAUUCUGUUCACUUAUCUGAUCGAUUUAUUGAUGUGUAAGGAAAGCAACGGAGGGAUCCCUACCGAUCUUCACUUAUCUGAUCAAUUUAAAAGAUUGAGUCUUGAAUAAAGUUGCUUGAUGGUUUAGUUUAGCCCAUGCCG